UACGGAGGGGGCUAGCGUUGUUCGGAAUUACUGGGCGUAAAGCGCACGUAGGCGGCUUUGUAAGUUAGAGGUGAAAGCCUGGGGCUCAACUCCAGAAUUGCCUUUAAGACUGCAUCGCUUGAAUCAUGGAGAGGCGGGUGGAAUUCCGAGUGUAGAGGCGAAAUUCGUAGAUAUUCGGAAGAACACCAGUGGCGAAGGCGGCCCGCUGGACAUGUAUUGACGCUGAGGUGCGAAAGCGUGGGGAGCAAACAGG
RNAcentral lists this ribosomal RNA (253 nucleotides) under uncultured bacterium. Its description in RNAcentral is "partial 16S ribosomal RNA". It matches the Rfam family "Bacterial small subunit ribosomal RNA", at positions 524 to 776 of the family's 1533-position model. The record is from RNAcentral.